Molecule: transfer RNA, 69 nt
Filed under: uncultured archaeon
Lineage: Archaea
Description: tRNA-Ser
Rfam family: tRNA
About the family: Transfer RNA (tRNA) molecules are approximately 80 nucleotides in length. Their secondary structure includes four short double-helical elements and three loops (D, anti-codon, and T loops). Further hydrogen bonds mediate the characteristic L-shaped molecular structure. tRNAs have two regions of fundamental functional importance: the anti-codon, which is responsible for specific mRNA codon recognition, and the 3' end, to which the tRNAs corresponding amino acid is attached (by aminoacyl-tRNA synthetases). tRNAs cope with the degeneracy of the genetic code in two manners: having more than one tRNA (with a specific anti-codon) for a particular amino acid; and 'wobble' base-pairing, i.e. permitting non-standard base-pairing at the 3rd anti-codon position.
Source: RNAcentral
GGGCUCAUCGCUCAAUGGAAGAGCACCCGUCAGAAGGCGGGGAUAAGGGUUCGAAUCCUUUUGGGUCUU